RNAcentral lists this transfer RNA (86 nucleotides) under Actinobacteria bacterium BACL2 MAG-120802-bin41. Its description in RNAcentral is "tRNA-Ser". It matches the Rfam family "tRNA". Rfam says of the family: Transfer RNA (tRNA) molecules are approximately 80 nucleotides in length. Lineage: Bacteria; Bacillati; Actinomycetota; Actinomycetes. The record is from RNAcentral. RNAcentral also lists the same sequence under 12 other names.
GGAGGGCUCGCAUAGUGGCCUAGUGCACCGGUCUUGAAAACCGGCAAGGGAAACCUUCGUGGGUUCAAAUCCCACGCCCUCCGCCA